Molecule: ribosomal RNA, 434 nt
Filed under: uncultured Clostridiales Family XIV bacterium
Lineage: Bacteria; Bacillati; Bacillota; Clostridia; Eubacteriales; Clostridiales Family XIV. Incertae Sedis
Description: bacterial SSU rRNA
Rfam family: Bacterial small subunit ribosomal RNA
Source: RNAcentral
ACGGGAGGCAGCAGUGGGGAAUAUUGGACAAUGGGGGAAACCCUGAUCCAGCGACGCCGCGUGAGUGAAGAAGUAUUUCGGUAUGUAAAGCUCUAUCAGCAAGGAAGAAAAUGACGGUACCUGAGUAAGAAGCCCCGGCUAACUACGUGCCAGCAGCCGCGGUAAUACGUAGGGGGCAAGCGUUAUCCGGAUUUACUGGGUGUAAAGGGAGCGCAGACGGUUAAGCAAGUCUGAAGUGAAAGCCUGGGGCUCAACCCCGGAACUGCUUUGGAAACUGUUUGACUUGAGUGCUGGAGAGGUAAGCGGAAUUCCUAGUGUAGCGGUGAAAUGCGUAGAUAUUAGGAAGAACACCGGUGGCGAAGGCGGCUUACUGGACAGUAACUGACGUUGAGGCUCGAAAGCGUGGGGAGCAAACAGGAUUAGAUACCCUGGUA